Molecule: ribosomal RNA, 292 nt
Filed under: uncultured bacterium
Lineage: Bacteria
Description: partial 16S ribosomal RNA
Rfam family: Bacterial small subunit ribosomal RNA
Source: RNAcentral
GUGCCAGCAGCCGCGGUAAUACAGAGGGUGCGAGCGUUAAUCGGAAUUACUGGGCGUAAAGCGUGCGUAGACGGUUAUUUAAGUCGGGUGUGAAAGCCCCGGGCUCAACCUGGGAAUUGCAUUCGAGACUGAAUAGCUAGGGUACGGUAGAGGGAAGCGGAAUUUCCGGUGUAGCGGUGAAAUGCGUAGAUAUCGGAAGGAACAUCAGUGGCGAAAGCGGCUUCCUGGACCAGUACCGACGUUCAGGCACGAAAGCGUGGGGAGCAAACAGGAUUAGAUACCCUGGUAGUCC